RNAcentral lists this ribosomal RNA (543 nucleotides) under Trichophyton tonsurans. Its description in RNAcentral is "eukaryotic LSU rRNA". It matches the Rfam family "Eukaryotic large subunit ribosomal RNA", at positions 73 to 628 of the family's 3401-position model. Lineage: Eukaryota; Fungi; Ascomycota; Eurotiomycetes; Onygenales; Arthrodermataceae. The record is from RNAcentral.
GAUUGCCCCAGUAACGGCGAGUGAAGCGGCAAGAGCUCAAAUUUGAAAUCUGGCCUCCCCCGGGGGCCCGAGUUGUAAUUUGCAGAGGAUGUUUCGGGUGCGGCCGCCGUCUAAGUUCCUUGGAACAGGACGUCAGAGAGGGUGAGAAUCCCGUCUUGGGCGGGCGGUCCGCGCCCGUGUGAAGCUCCUUCGACGAGUCGAGUUGUUUGGGAAUGCAGCUCUAAGCGGGUGGUAAAUUUCAUCUAAAGCUAAAUAUUGGCCGGAGACCGAUAGCGCACAAGUAGAGUGAUCGAAAGGUUAAAAGCACCUUGAAAAGGGAGUUAAACAGCACGUGAAAUUGUUGAAAGGGAAGCGCUUGCGGCCAGACUCGGGGGCGGGGUUCAGCGGGUGCUCGUCGCCCGUGUAUUCCUCGUUUCCCGGGCCAGCAUCAGUUUCGACGGCCGGUCAAAGGCCCCCGGAAUGUGUCGUCUCUCGGGACGUCUUAUAGCCGGGGGUGCAAUGCGGCCCGUCGGGACUGAGGAACGCGCUCCGGCUCGGAUGCUG